Molecule: non-coding RNA, 148 nt
Filed under: Nomascus leucogenys (northern white-cheeked gibbon)
Lineage: Eukaryota; Metazoa; Chordata; Mammalia; Primates; Hylobatidae
Source: Rfam by way of RNAcentral
GCUGGGCGUGGUGGUGCAUGCCUGUAAUCCCAGUUACUCGGGAGGCUGAGGCAGGAGAAUUGCUUGAGCCUGGGCAGCAGAGGUUCCAGUGAGCCGAGAUCACACAACUGCACUCCAGCCUGGGCUACAGAGCAAGACUCUGUCUCAA